This 506-nucleotide ribosomal RNA is filed under the name uncultured bacterium. Its description in RNAcentral is "bacterial SSU rRNA". It matches the Rfam family "Bacterial small subunit ribosomal RNA", at positions 18 to 518 of the family's 1533-position model. The record is from RNAcentral.
UCUGGUUCAGGAUGAACGCUAGCGGCAGGCUUAACACAUGCAAGUCGAGGGCAGCGGGAUGUAGCAAUACAUUGCCGGCGACGGCGGAUGGGUGCGUAACGCGUAUGCAACCUACCUUAUACAGGGGAAUAACCUUUCGAAAGGGAGACUAACACCCCAUAGUAUUGAUUUAAGGCAUCUUAGAUUAAUUAAAUAUUUAUAGGUAUAAGAUGGGCAUGCGUAUGAUUAGCUAGUUGGUAAGGUAACGGCUUACCAAGGCGACGAUCAUUAGGGGUUCUGAGAGGAAGGUCCCCCACACUGGUACUGAGACACGGACCAGACUCCUACGGGAGGCAGCAGUGAGGAAUAUUGGUCAAUGGGCGCAAGCCUGAACCAGCCAUGCCGCGUGCAAGGAAGACGGCCUUAUGGGUUGUAAACUGCUUUUACAUAAGACUAACCGUAUAUUUGCGAAUAUACCUGAAUGUAUUAUGAGAAUAAGGAUCGGCUAACUCCGUGCCAGCCGCCGC